Molecule: long non-coding RNA, 1657 nt
Filed under: Olea europaea subsp. europaea
Lineage: Eukaryota; Viridiplantae; Streptophyta; Magnoliopsida; Lamiales; Oleaceae
Rfam family: Early nodulin 40 (bases 756-927)
Source: RNAcentral
AUUUCAAAAUACGUCCCUUUUUUGUUUUUUUUUUUUUUUACCGAAAAAAAUUAAGCAUUUCAAAUUAACCUGUCUUUAAUCCCCAACAGAAGAAAUCUCCAUGUUAGCCAUGGUGAUUGUUGAUUACCAGUUGAUUGCUGCUCAAAGUCAGCCAUGCUGAUGCAAAGAAACCCUUGUCGCGACUCCUUCUCGACGACAAGAUUAAAUUUUUAUUGCUUUGAAUGGGGUAAGACAUGCACGAUUCCACGGUUGAAGCAGGAAAAUUUGGGGAAUCAAAUCCAACAAUAUCGUGUUGCUGGACGCUGGACGUGAGGUUGGGUAGCAACUUAUUGAUUUGGUGUCCGCCAGUCGAAACAUUAUGCCAUAUAUGCGAUUCCGUCAGCCAUGUCAGCAUUUCUGUCAUUUUUUUGAACGAUUGUUCAGUCACUGAUCAAAGGGAUUACAUAUUGCAAGGCUAGUGAUUAACAUAGCGAUUUUCAAAGUUCAAUGACUCAUUGAAAACCUUUUGCAAAGUUCAAUACCAUUUGGAUUAUUAUCCCUUUUAAGAAUAAGUACAUAUCAUAAAAAUGAUUUGAGCAACUUUCAUGGUGAUAGUGUGAGAAAAAAGGGCAAGUGGGGAUAAUGAUGUAAUGAUUUUGCCCUACUCAACUCUAUACCUAUUAUUUAUAACCCACUUCUCUAGGCUAAUCACCUUCAGCUUCAUUUAAGAGGCAUUCACAUUUCAUACAAAAUCAGUGACAAAACUGAUUGAAAAAAUGUAUUGGAAUGAAGCAUUUCAUGGAUCUUGAUAAAGCACAGCAGUUGGAAUGGUUUCGAGUUCAAAUUGUUUGCCUGUAAUUGGCCAUAACCUUGAGAAAUUUAAGGUUACAGCCAGUUUACAGCAAACCGGCAAGUCACAGAACGGCAGUGGGCUCUGUUAAGAGUCUUUUUUAUGGCUAAUGUUUGUUCUUUUCUAUAUGUAGGUGAUAAGAAAGUGUUCUAAUUAGUUCAGUUCGUCUGAAGGAGAGUUUAUGCACCUGAUUUCAUAGGUUCAAAUCCUUCUUGCAAUAAUAAAUUUUAGUUUCUGUUUUCCUUGACUUGUUCAGUAUUUGUGGUGACUGAUGACAAUAGCAGUAUUACUGUUGCAACAUUCCAAUGGUGAUGGAAAAUUUUCCGUUACUGUCGGAAAAAUGUCGUCUGGUAUCAGCGAUUGAAAUGUAUCGUGGAAAAUUUUCCAUUUUUGUUGGUGCGUUUUCUAGUGGUGCAUACUCGUCCUAUCUGCUUCAUUUUUCAAACUAUUUGUGUUUAACACUUGUACAAGUGCGUCCACAUGUGUGAUGGUGAAUCAGUAGUGAUGAAUGAAGAGGUAUAUAUAAACCCUGACUCGUGUUGUCAAAAAAGCAUCAUAUACAUCUGGCCACUUACACUACCAAAUAAAUUGACGAAUUCUAUCGUGAUGCUGUUCAUUGAUAGGAAAAUUGGCAAAUAUAGCUGGUGCUGUUUACUGUUGGGGCGAUUAUCGCAAGUACGUUGUCGUCACAUGUGUUCACAAAAAUAUCUUUCGAUUUCUAACCAUUGCAAGUGCAUGAUUUGUUAACAAGUAAAAAAGUGAAUUUUAAGUUCAAGUAUCAUCACACCUUAAUUGAUUUGGUUCGAUUUUAAUUAUCGUGACCUUAAC